UACAGAGGUGGCGAGCGUUAUUCGGAAUUAUUGGGCGUAAAGGGCGCGCAGGCGGCUCAUUUUGUCAGGCGUGAAAGCCCCGGGCUUAACCUGGGAACUGCGUUUGAUACGGAUGGGCUAGAGUUCGGGGGAGGAGAGUGGAAUUCCCAGUGUAGAGGUGAAAUUCGUAGAUAUUGGGAAGAACACCGGUGGCGAAGGCGGCUCUCUGGACCGAUACUGACGCUGAGGCGCGAAAGCGUGGGGAGCAAACAGG
RNAcentral lists this ribosomal RNA (253 nucleotides) under uncultured bacterium. Its description in RNAcentral is "partial 16S ribosomal RNA". It matches the Rfam family "Bacterial small subunit ribosomal RNA", at positions 524 to 776 of the family's 1533-position model. The record is from RNAcentral.